UUUCCGUAGGUGAACCUGCGGAAGGAUCAUUAUAAAUGAAAAACGAAUAACUUCAGGGAAGAAGGGAACCUGCACGGUCACCUCCCCUGUCGGGCCACCCAAUACCUUCAAAAUGCCGCCGUCCUAGCGGUGGCAGACGAAAAAAAAACAAGAAAAACAAAAUAGAAACAGGCACGGUGGCCCGUUCACCUUCACACAACCCUCCGAGUACCGCUUCCAUGUUGCUUCCCCGCAAAUCCACCUCUUUGGUGAGCGCGGGGGAGGUCCGCAUCAAAUUCACCUGAAUGUCACAGCAGUCAGACGGCCAUUCAUGGAAACAAUAAAACUUUCAACAACGGAUCUCUUGGUUCCC
This 352-nucleotide unclassified non-coding RNA is filed under the name plant metagenome. Its description in RNAcentral is "partial contains small subunit ribosomal RNA, internal transcribed spacer 1, and 5.8S ribosomal RNA". The record is from RNAcentral.